UACGGAGGGUGCAAGCGUUAAUCGGAAUUACUGGGCGUAAAGCGCACGCAGGUGGCUGAGUCAGUCGAUUGUGAAAGCCCUGGGCUUAACCUGGGAAUUGCAGUCGAUACUACUCAGCUAGAGUAUGGGAGAGGGUAGUGGAAUUCCCGGUGUAGCGGUGAAAUGCGUAGAUAUCGGGAAGAACACCCGUGGCGAAGGCGGCUCUCUGGAACGCAACUGACGCUGAGACGCGAAAGCGUGGGGAGCAAACAGG
This 253-nucleotide ribosomal RNA is filed under the name uncultured bacterium. RNAcentral's name for it is "partial 16S ribosomal RNA". It matches the Rfam family "Bacterial small subunit ribosomal RNA", at positions 524 to 776 of the family's 1533-position model. The record is from RNAcentral.